UUCAGCUGUAGAAAAACCGUACCGCAAACCGACACAGGUAGGCAGGGUGAGAAUCCCAAGGCGCUUGAGAGAACUCGGGUGAAGGAACUAGGCAAAAUGGCACCGUAACUUCGGGAGAAGGUGCGCCUCUUGGUGUGGUCACGUGCGUGACUGAGCAUCGAGGGGUCGCAGUAACCUGGCCGCUGCGACUGUUUAUCAAAAACACAGCACUCUGCAAACACGAAAGUGGACGUAUAGGGUGUGACGCCUGCCCGGUGCUGGAAGGUUAAUUGAUGGGGUCAGCCGCAAGGCGAAGCUCUUGAUCGAAGCCCCAGUAAACGGCGGCCGUAACGAUAACGGUCCUAAGGUAGCGAAAUUCCUUGUCGGGUAAGUUCCGACCUGCACGAAUGGCGUAACGACAGCGGCGCUGUCUCCACCCGAGACUCAGUGAAAUUGAGAUCGCUGUGAAGAUGCAGCGUUCCCGCGGCAAGACGGAAAGACCCCGUGAACCUUUACUAUAGCUUUACACUGAACGUUGAGUUCUUCUGAGUAGGAUAGGUGGGAGGCUAUGAAACCAGGACGCUAGUUCUGGUGGAGCCAUCCUUGAAAUACCACCCUGAAGUGCUUGACGUUCUAACCUAGGUCCGUAAUCCGGAUCGGGGACCGUGUAUGGUGGGUAGUUUGACUGGGGCGGUCUCCUCCCAAAGAGUAACGGAGGAGCACGAAGGUACGCUCAGCGCGGUCGGACAUCGCGCACUGUGUGCAAAGGCAUAAGCGUGCUUGACUGCGAGAUCGACGGAUCAAGCAGGUACGAAAGUAGGUCUUAGUGAUCCGGUGGUUCUGUAUGGAAGGGCCAUCGCUCAACGGAUAAAAGGUACUCCGGGGAUAACAGGCUGAUACCGCCCAAGAGUUCAUAUCGACGGCGGUGUUUGGCACCUCGAUGUCGGCUCAUCACAUCCUGGGGCUGUAGCCGGUCCCAAGGGUAUGGCUGUUCGCCAUUUAAAGUGGUACGCGAGCUGGGUUCAGAACGUCGUGAGACAGUUCGGUCCCUAUCUGUCGUGGGCGUUGGAGAUUUGAGGGGGGCUGCUCCUAGUACGAGAGGACCGGAGUGGACGUUCCGCUGGUGUUCGGGUUGUCAUGCCCAUGGCAUUGCCCGGUAGCUACGAACGGAAGUGAUAACCGCUGAAAGCAUCUAAGCGGGAAGCACGCCCCAAGAUGAGAUCUCCCGAGAGCUUGACUCUCCUAAAGGCACCAUCAAGACUAGGUGGUUGAUAGGCACGGUGUGGAAGUGCAGCAAUGCAUUGAGCUUACGUGUACUAAUGAGCCGUGAGGCUUGAGC
Molecule: ribosomal RNA, 1318 nt
Filed under: metagenome
Description: bacterial LSU rRNA
Rfam family: Bacterial large subunit ribosomal RNA
Source: RNAcentral